CGGGGUGAGUAACGCGUGGGUAACCUGCCUUGUACUGGGGGACAACAGUUGGAAACGACUGCUAAUACCGCAUAAGCGCACAGCUUCGCAUGAAGCAGUGCGAAAAACUCCGGUGGUACAAGAUGGACCCGCGUCUGAUUAGCUGGUUGGUGAGGUAACGGCCCACCAAGGCGACGAUCAGUAGCCGGCCUGAGAGGGUGAACGGCCACAUUGGGACUGAGACACGGCCCAA
Molecule: ribosomal RNA, 232 nt
Filed under: uncultured bacterium
Lineage: Bacteria
Description: partial 16S ribosomal RNA
Rfam family: Bacterial small subunit ribosomal RNA
Source: RNAcentral